RNAcentral lists this long non-coding RNA (214 nucleotides) under Capsicum annuum. RNAcentral's name for it is "long non-coding RNA (CANN_LNC010362)". Lineage: Eukaryota; Viridiplantae; Streptophyta; Magnoliopsida; Solanales; Solanaceae. The record is from RNAcentral.
GUUUAAAUAAGAUGAAGUUAGUAAGAGUUUUGCUUUUAUGUUUUUGUUGUAUGAGUUGAAAAAUAAAGUUUGAUAUACUAUGGUAGAGCCCACGAUGGGAUAAAGUUUGUAUAACCCUACAAUGGAGUAGAACUUGGUGAUAUGAUAGGUUGAAUCAAUUAUAUUACUGGGUACAUAAACAUAGGCCUACUAUGUGUUGGACAAUAUUCCCUGA